RNAcentral lists this ribosomal RNA (274 nucleotides) under uncultured bacterium. RNAcentral's name for it is "partial 16S ribosomal RNA". It matches the Rfam family "Archaeal small subunit ribosomal RNA", at positions 473 to 747 of the family's 1478-position model. The record is from RNAcentral.
AAACCAGCACCUCAAGUGGUCAGGAGGAUUAUUGGGCCUAAAGCAUCCGUAGCCUGCUGUAUAAGUUUUCGGUUAAAUCCAUGUGCUCAACACAUGGGCUGCCGGGAAUACUGUACAGCUAGGGAGUGGGAGAGGUAGACGGUACUCGGUAGGAAGUGGUAAAAUGCUUUGAUCUAUCGAUGACCACCUGUGGCGAAGGCGGUCUACCAGAACACGUUCGACGGUGAGGGAUGAAAGCUGGGGGAGCAAACCGGAUUAGAAACCCCAGUAGUCC